RNAcentral lists this long non-coding RNA (941 nucleotides) under Populus trichocarpa (black cottonwood). RNAcentral describes it as "long non-coding RNA (PTRI_LNC002202)". The record is from RNAcentral. Lineage: Eukaryota; Viridiplantae; Streptophyta; Magnoliopsida; Malpighiales; Salicaceae.
UAGUUGUUAAUCCCUUGAAGAAGGGCAUCCUCCUGAUCACCUGCAAAUAAGUGGUGGAAUGAGAAGCUUAGUGUUAAGAUAUCAGCCGGGAAGAAAAUCUUAACUUGGGCAAAUUAACAUGGAGCAAUAGACUCAUGGGACUGUACUGAAAAGAAAGCCCAGACCACUUGGGAUCUGGGAUCAUUUCCAGCUUCGUGCGCAUUCUAAACAAGCAGCAAAAACUAGUUUUUGAUAGCAAGAGGACAACAAGUUUUAAAACCAUUUUCUUGACCUGAAGAACAAGUAUCAGCAAAUUGCAUAAAAAAGAUUUUAACAGAAAAACAGAUUAAUGGGAGAGAAAAAAUUAAGCAAAGACUUGACGAGCUUGCCAAUGCAAAUCAUGAAAGCAAACUAUAAUACUAGUUGGAUUACAGCUAUUUCUUAGUUAACUGGGUCAUAACAAGCAAUCUUGCAAAGGCAAAUUCACUGCAUAAUGUAACAGCCCGUUUGGAGACAUCAGAUUUGAGUAGAAAUGAAAUCAAUUCAAGACCAUUUACCAAUUCCAGCGUUUUGGAAAGUUGUAAGCAAUACAGAUGAAUUAAAAGUAUCCAGAUUAAUUGUAAUGCACAUAUAUAUUAUAGAAUUGGAUCUACAAGACUACAGCUAAAACGACAGAUUCAAACAAACAUAAGAAUCAGUAAUCAGAUCUCACAUGAUAAAUUAGAUAAUGUAAAAAGAAAUAAAAGAAAGCAGAUAAUUACCAAGUAAUCCCAAAAAUAAAGAAAAGAAAAAUGGUUACCGUCACAAAUGACAGGGUGACUGAUCAAGCAGAGAAUAAUGAAGAAAACAAAGAAUGGGAAGAGAAGAGAAAAUCUUGAAGAAGCCAUUGCUGCUGCUGCUAAUUGAAGCUACUGUUGUUUUUCAAAGGAGAAAGGCGUCGGUGAUGAAUGUAUAUAGGAGAA